UCGGAGUAUCUCAAGCAUGAC
This 21-nucleotide microRNA is filed under the name Heligmosomoides polygyrus. RNAcentral describes it as "hpo-miR-10075b-5p". Lineage: Eukaryota; Metazoa; Nematoda; Chromadorea; Rhabditida; Heligmosomidae. The record is from miRBase by way of RNAcentral.